Molecule: long non-coding RNA, 1946 nt
Filed under: Homo sapiens (human)
Lineage: Eukaryota; Metazoa; Chordata; Mammalia; Primates; Hominidae
Description: HSALNT0283048
Source: RNAcentral
GUUUGACUUCUUCUCUUUCAUUUUGGAUGCCUUGUAUUUUUUCUUCUUGGCUGAUUGCUCUGGCCAGGACUUCCAAUACUAUGUUGAAUAGGCGUGGUGAGAGGAAAGCAUCCUUGUCUUGUGCUGGUUUUCAAGGGGAAUGAAUUAAGUAUGAUGUUGGCUGUGAGAUUUUCACAGAUGACUUAUUAUUUUGAAGUAUGUUUCCUCAAUACCUAGCUUAUUGAGAAUUUUUUACGUGAAGGGGUGUUGAAUUUCACUGAAAGCAGUUUCUUCAUUUAUUGAGAUAAUCACAUGGUUUUUGUCUUUAUUUCUGUUUAUGUGAUGAAUCACAUUUAUUGAUUUGCAUAUAUUAAACCAACCUUGCAUUUUAAUGAUAAAGCCUGCUUGAUUUUGAUGGAUUCACUUUUUGAUGUGCUGCUAGAUUUUGUUUUCUAGUAUUUUAUUGAGGAUUCUUGAAUUAAUGUUAUCAAAAGUAUUGGCCUAAAGUUGUCUUUUUUUUGAGUUUUCUUUUUCUGAAGUUUUUGUUUGUUCAUUUGUUUGUUUGUUUGUUUGUUUUUCUCUGCCAGCUUUUGGUAUCAGGAUGAUGCUGGCCUCAUAGGAUGAGUUAGGGAGGAGUCCCUUCUCUUCUGCUUUUCGGAGUCAUUUUAGUAGGAAUAGUACCAAAUCUUUAUUGAACAUCUUUCAGAACUCAGCUCUGAAUCCAUCUGGUCCUGGGCUUUUUUUUUUUUUUUUUUUUUUUUUUUGGUUGGUAGGCUAUUUAUUACUGAUUCAAUUUCAGAGUUCAUUGUCAGUUUGUUUGGAGAAUCAAUUUUUUCCUGGUUUAUUCUUGGGAGGGUGUUUGUGUCCAACAAUUUAUCUCUUCUAGGGUUUUUAAUUCAUGUGCAUAGAGGUGUUCAUAGUAAUUACUUAUGUUUAUUUUUAUUUCCGCAGGGUAAGAGGUAACAUCCUCUGUCAUUUCUAAUUGUGUUUAUUCGGAUGUUGUCUCUUUUUUUAUUAGUCUAGCUUGUGGCCUAUUUAUUUUAUUAAUUUGUUUCAAAAAACCAACUCCUGAAUUUGUUUAUGUUUUGAUUGGUUUUUUAUGUCUUGAUUUCUUUCAGUUAAACUCUGAUUUUGAGUAUUUCUUGUCUUUGGCUAGCUUUGGUGUUGGUUUGCUAUUCUACCUCUAAUUCUAUCUCUUGUAAUGUUAGGUUGUUAAUUUAUGAUCUUUCUUACUUUCUGAGGUGGGCAUUUUGUGACAUUAACUUCCCUCUUAACACUGUCUUAGCUGUGUUUUAGAGAUUAUAGUAUGUUGUAGCUUUGUUCUCAUUAGUUUCAAAUAACUUCUUGAUUUCUGCCUUAAUUUCAUAUUUUUUCUGAAAGUCAUUCUGGAGCCAUUGUUUAAUUACUAUGUAAUUACAUGGUUUUGAGCAAUCAUCUGGGUCUUAACUUUUAUUUUUUCUAUUUUACUGUGGUCCAAGAGUGUGUUUCGUAUGAUUUUCAUUCUUUUGCAUUUACUUAGGAUGGUUUUAUGUCCAAUUUUGUGGUCGAUUUUAGAGUAUGUGCCAUGUGUUCAUGAGGAAAAUGUAUAUUUUGUUGUUUUGGGUUGAGGAUUACUGUAGAGGUCUAUCAGAUACAUUUGGUUCAAUGUUGAGUUCACAUACUAAAUAUCUUUGUUCAUUUUCUGCCUUUAUUAUCUGUCUAAUACUGUCAGUGGAGUGUUGAAGUCUCCCACUAUUAUUGUGUGGGAGUAUAAGUCUCUUUGUAUGUCUCUAAGAAUUAAUUUUGUCAAUCUGGGUGCUUCCACGUUGCGUGCAUAUAUAUUAUGUAAUGUCCCUUUUAGUAUUUUUUUUAUUUUGUUGGUUGAAAGUGUUUUGACUGAAGUUAGAAUUGCAACCCCUGCAUUUUUCUGAUUUCCAUUUGCUUGGUAUAUUUUUCUCCAUCCCUUUUUGUUUGAGGCUAUGGAUAUU